This 520-nucleotide ribosomal RNA is filed under the name uncultured Glomus. RNAcentral's name for it is "SSU rRNA". It matches the Rfam family "Eukaryotic small subunit ribosomal RNA", at positions 548 to 1073 of the family's 1831-position model. Lineage: Eukaryota; Fungi; Glomeromycota; Glomeromycetes; Glomerales; Glomeraceae. The record is from RNAcentral.
UUGGAGGGCAAGUCUGGUGCCAGCAGCCGCGGUAAUUCCAGCUCCAAUAGCGUAUAUUAAAGUUGUUGCAGUUAAAAAGCUCGUAGUUGAACUUCGGGAUCAAUGAGUUGGUCGUGCCCUUGGUAUGAACUGGCUUUAUUGGUUCUCACCUUCUAAUGAACCAUAAUGUCAUUCAUUUGAUGUUUUGGGGAAUUAGGACUGUUACCUUGAAAAAUUAGAGUGUUUAAAGCAGGCUCACGCUUGAAUACAUUAGCAUGGACUAAUGAAAUAGGACAUCGCAUUCUAUUUUGUUGGUUUCUAGGAUCGAUGUAAUGAUUAAUAGGGAUAGUUGGGGGCAUUAGUAUUCAAUUGUCAGAGGUGAAAUUCUUGGAUUUAUUGAAGACUAACUACUGCGAAAGCAUUUGCCAAGGAUGUUUUCAUUAAUCAAGAACGAAAGUUAGGGGAUCGAAGACGAUCAGAUACCGUCGUAGUCUUAACCAUAAACUAUGCCGACUAGGGAUCGGAUGAUGUUGAUUUUAAU